UAUCUCCUUAGAAAAUAAGUCCUUAAAAUCCUACAUAAGAAACUCAACACAACUUGGCAAAUUAUAAGUGUUAGAAAUGUUAGUUAACAAAGCCACCUCUUUGCAAAUAAUCAAAUAUAUGGGCUAUUUGCUCACAACUUUCCUUUUAAUCUCUCCUCUUUUGGAAAUUAAACUCUAUUUUGUUAACACUUAUUUCUUUUUGUCAAACUUCUUUUUUGUCUUACUUUUUCUUUUUCCUUUUUUUUUCUCUUUUUCUUUUUCUUUUUAUCUUUCUUUUUAUCUUUCUUUUUCUUUUUCUUUUUCUUUUUCUUUUUCUGUUUUUUCUUCCUCAUAGUUUUCUCUCAUUUUCUUUUGACACUCUCCCACCUCACUAGGAUUCAAUGGUGCAAGAAUAAUCUUUUGGCCAUAAUGUAUAAAAGAGCACUUCUUGGUAUGACCAUCAUGCAUAAAUAUUCUAUUAAAUUUCCAUGUCCUACAAAGAAACAAGUGACAAACUUCCAUUGUCA
Molecule: long non-coding RNA, 506 nt
Filed under: Lathyrus oleraceus (garden pea)
Lineage: Eukaryota; Viridiplantae; Streptophyta; Magnoliopsida; Fabales; Fabaceae
Description: Pisum sativum (pea) long non-coding RNA (PSAT_LNC014906)
Source: RNAcentral